AUUUUAAUAGCUUAUUUAAUAGAGCAUAAUAUUGAAGAUAUUAGGGAGAAUAAAUAUUCUUAAAGUA
This 67-nucleotide transfer RNA is filed under the name Bothrogonia yunana. RNAcentral describes it as "tRNA-Phe". The record is from RNAcentral. Lineage: Eukaryota; Metazoa; Arthropoda; Insecta; Hemiptera; Cicadellidae.